CCGAAAUGACUUUGUCAAAGCUACAAAAUAACUAGGGCUUUACAAUGAUGUUGGAGCCUGAGGCCCUUGACAUCACAGACAUUGAGAGUCAACACAGCACAGACAAUCAAGACUGAUGAAGAAAAGAAAGAAAUCAUAACAUCUUCUAAUUUCCCAGAAAGUACGACACCUGUUCUGACAAUUGCAUUGAUUGGUGGCACUGAUUCUAUGUAGAUUGAAUCUGGAAAUCUCCUUCUUGGUCAAGAUGAUCUACCAGCAGCAGAACUCUCACAGAUAACACCCAGGAUGUAUGAUCUACCAGCAGCAGAACUCUCACAGAUAACACCCAGGAUGUAUGAUCUACCAGCAGCAGAACUCUCACAGAUAAUACCCAGGAUGUAUGAUUUGCCCAGUCAUUGUGUCUCUGUUAUCAACAUGCUGGGCUUGCAGAGUUCUGAACUUACCCAGGAGAAUCACAUAGGUCUACUUGUUCAUAAGCAGGGUAUCAAUGCUGUCCUCUUACUUCUACCAUUGGGUCAGCAUAUUGAUGAAUUCAAAAUGGGAGUGGGGUGGCUGGAAAGAA
RNAcentral lists this long non-coding RNA (562 nucleotides) under Salmo salar (Atlantic salmon). Its description in RNAcentral is "lncRNA (ENSSSAG00000091422.1, ENSSSAG00075067581.1)". Lineage: Eukaryota; Metazoa; Chordata; Actinopteri; Salmoniformes; Salmonidae. The record is from RNAcentral.